UUUCGGGCCGGCCCCCAAUACAUGCCCAGUCCGAGCGAACAGAUAAGGAGCUUGCUCCUUUGACGUUAGCGGCGGACGGGUGAGUAACACGUGGGUAACCUACCUAUAAGACUGGAAUAACUCCGGGAAACCGGGGCUAAUGCCGGAUAACAUUUAGAACCGCAUGGUUCUAAAGUGAAAGAUGGUUUUGCUAUCACUUAUAGAUGGACCCGCGCCGUAUUAGCUAGUUGGUAAGGUAAUGGCUUACCAAGGCAACGAUACGUAGCCGACCUGAGAGGGUGAUCGGCCACACUGGAACUGAGACACGGUCCAGACUCCUACGGGAGGCAGCAGUAGGGAAUCUUCCGCAAUGGGCGAAAGCCUGACGGAGCAACGCCGCGUGAGUGAUGAAGGGUUUCGGCUCGUAAAACUCUGUUAUUAGGGAAGAACAAACGUGUAAGUAACUGUGCACGUCUUGACGGUACCUAAUCAGAAAGCCACGGCUAACUACGUGCCAGCAGCCGCGGUAAUACGUAGGUGGCAAGCGUUAUCCGGAAUUAUUGGGCGUAAAGCGCGCGUAGGCGGUUUCUUAAGUCUGAUGUGAAAGCCCACGGCUCAACCGUGGAGGGUCAUUGGAAACUGGGAGACUUGAGUGCAGAAGAGGAAAGUGGAAUUCCAUGUGUAGCGGUGAAAUGCGCAGAGAUAUGGAGGAACACCAGUGGCGAAGGCGACUUUCUGGUCUGUAACUGACGCUGAUGUGCGAAAGCGUGGGGAUCAACAAGGAUUAGAUACCCUGGUAGUCCACGCCGUAACGAUGAGUGCUAAGUGUAAGGGGGUUUCCGCCCCUUAGUGCUGCGCUAACGCAUAAGCACUCCGCCUGGGGAGUACGAACGCCAAGGUUGAAACUCAAGGAAUGACGGGGACCGCACCAACCGCUGAAGCAUGUGGUUUAAUUUCGAGGCAACGCG
Molecule: ribosomal RNA, 947 nt
Filed under: Staphylococcus arlettae
Lineage: Bacteria; Bacillati; Bacillota; Bacilli; Caryophanales; Staphylococcaceae
Description: bacterial SSU rRNA
Rfam family: Bacterial small subunit ribosomal RNA
Source: RNAcentral